UACGGGGGGGGCAAGCGUUGUUCGGAAUUACUGGGCGUAAAGGGCUCGUAGGCGGCCAACUAAGUCAUACGUGAAAUCCCUCGGCUUAACCGGGGAACUGCGUCUGAUACUGGAUGGCUCGAAUCCGGGAGAGGGAUGUGGAAUUCCAGGUGUAGCGGUGAAAUGCGUAGAUAUCUGGAGGAACACCGGUGGCGAAGGCGGCAUCCUGGACCGGCAUUGACGCUGAGGCGCGAAAGCCAGGGGAGCAAACGGG
Molecule: ribosomal RNA, 253 nt
Filed under: uncultured bacterium
Lineage: Bacteria
Description: partial 16S ribosomal RNA
Rfam family: Bacterial small subunit ribosomal RNA
Source: RNAcentral